RNAcentral lists this ribosomal RNA (256 nucleotides) under uncultured bacterium. RNAcentral describes it as "partial 16S ribosomal RNA". It matches the Rfam family "Bacterial small subunit ribosomal RNA", at positions 524 to 776 of the family's 1533-position model. The record is from RNAcentral.
UACAGAGGGUGCGAGCGUUUGUUCGGAAUUAUUGGGCGUAAAGGGCGCGUAGGCGGUGCGGUAAGUCACCUGUGAAAUCUCCUGGCUCAACUGGGAGCUUGCAGGCGAAACUGCCGUGCUGGAGUGUGGGAGAGGUGCGUGGAAUUCCUGGUGUAGCGGUGAAAUGCGUAGAUAUCAGGAGGAACACCUGUGGCGAAAGCGGCGCACUGGACCACAACUGACGCUGAGGCGCGAAAAGCUAGGGGGAGCAAACAGG